GAUUUAGGCCCAACCAAUCCCUUUUAGCAAAUUACAAGGGUAAUUCGUGUUGAAGCCUUGGACCCCACUCCAACGCUCUAGUUGACGUUUUGCCCUCGGAGGCUGACUCGAGUAUAUCCAGUGCCAGCCUUGAUAUUUGGCUUGGUUGCCCACUUACUUUUAAGUCAUAAAAAAUAAAAAGACACACAAGUCAAAAAAAAAAAGAUAUUACAUUAUGCUUUUAGCUUGAAUAACAUCAAAAAAAUAAAAAUAAAAA
This is a long non-coding RNA of Rhododendron vialii, 256 nucleotides long. RefSeq lists it as uncharacterized. The transcript is spliced from 2 exons. NCBI's taxonomy places the organism in Eukaryota, Viridiplantae, Streptophyta, Magnoliopsida, Ericales, Ericaceae. The record is from RefSeq and is a predicted model, not a curated record.